AUGAAGAGGCCGCGCGCGAGGCUGCUCGUCGGAGGAGCUCCGGCGGCGGCGAGGCCAACACCACCCGGGCUAGGGUUUGUGGCGGCGGCGGCGGCGGGGGCGGGGGUCACGGCUAUAGGACGGGGUGAGCGGGGUGCCGGUUUCCUGAGCAUCGACUGCGGCCUGGAUGCCAAAUUCAGCGGGCGCAGAAAAACCGACACAGACAUCGCCUACGUCUCCGACGAUCCGUACGUCGACGGCGGAAAGAACCACAGGGUAGCCGCCAAGUUCGAUGUCAGUUCUAGACCCGAGAACCGCCGCACGCUCAGGAGCUUCCCGUCCGGCAUACGGAACUGUUACACCCUCCCAACCGAGAGCGGUGGUAAGUACCUGGUCCGGAUGGUGUUCUUCUACGGGGAUUACGACGGGAAGACCAGUCCAUCGUUCGAGGUACACUUGGGCAGCAACUACUGGGACACGUUCCAGAACAACAACUUCUGGUGGUUCGAAGCAGUCUUCGUCGCGUGGGGGAGCUGGGUGCCGGUGUGCCUGGUGAACACCGGCGGUGGCACGCCGUUUGUGAGCACGGUGGAGCUGAGGCCGCUCCCACCCUCGCUCUAUCCCCAGGUCAUCGUCGACGAGUCGAUAUCUGCCCUUGCAAGGGGAAAUCUGGGGGCAAACACUAGUUACCGGUUUCCCGACGAUCCAUAUGACCGCUUCUGGGAAUGGGAAGUCAGCUCGUCGUGGGCAAACCUUUCCACCAAAGAGACCAUCCAGCGGGAAGACAGCUUGCCCAUCCCUGUUCUUCAAACAGCCGUCGCUCCUGUCAACAAUGGCACGGUGCUACACGUCACGGGGACGUACAAAAGGACAUUCGAGUAUAAAUUCUUCCUACACUUCUCCGACGUCCAAAACACCCAGCUCCGACAGUUCGACAUCUACAUGAACGACUAUGAGCCGUACAAGAACUACAGCCCCCCGUACCUUACCGCUGGUAAAAUGUAUACUACUGGCUGGUACAAGGCUACAGAAGGCACGUACAAUAUCACUCUUGCAGCCACCAAUAGGUCCAUGCUGCCCCCAAUGGUCAGUGCAUACGAGGUCGUCAACCGCAUCCCCCACGACGCUCCGAGGACGUCCACUAAAGACUUCAACGCAAUGAUGGCUAUCAAACUCGAGUACGGAGUAAAGAAAAACUGGAUGGGUGAUCCAUGUUUUCCUGCCAAAUAUCGAUGGGAUGGCGUGAACUGUAGCGACAUAACUGCUAACACUACGCGGAUAAUAUCUCUGGAUCUGUCAGACAGUAACUUGACUGGAGCCAUAUCUGAUAACUUCACACUGCUCACAGAACUCCUAUAUCUGGAUUUAUCUGGCAACAGUCUGAAUGGACCAGUUCCAAAGUCCCUCUGUAAAAGGAGUGCAGGAUCAAAAAAAAAAAAAGGAGUGCAGGAUCACUCAUUUUCAGUUUCUACACAUGAUCCUCCCAGAGAACCAGAACUUCAAGGUGCUCCUGAAAGUAGAAAAAGUAAUGCGGAUCAGCUGCAAAAUACUGAGAACCGCCGAUUCACAUACAAGCAGCUAGAGAAGUUUACCGAUAAAUUCCAACGGUGCAUUGGCAAAGGAGGUUUUGGACUCGUGUACUACGGCCGUUUAGAAGACAAUGCUGAGGUUGCUGUCAAGAUGCAUUCUGAAUCAUCAUCACAUGGGCUUGAUGAGUUUUUAGCCGAGGUCAAUAGCUUGACAAAGGUGCAUCACAGGAAUCUAGUUUCUUUGGUUGGUUACUGCUGGGAGAAGGACCAUUUAGCACUGGUUUAUGAGUACAUGUCCCGGGGCAAUCUUUGUGAUCAUCUGAGAGGGAAAAAUGAUGGUGGUGAAACCUUGGGUUGGGCGACACGUGUACGAAUCGUGCUCGAAGCUGCACAAGGCCUGGACUAUCUGCACAAGGGAUGUAGCUUGCCAAUAAUUCACCGGGAUGUGAAAACCAACAACAUUCUCCUAGGUCAUAAUCUAAAGGCGAAACUAGCUGAUUUUGGACUUUGCAAGACCUAUCUUAGCGACAUGCAGACCCACAUAUCAACCAAUGCGGCUGGGACAGCAGGAUACAUGGACCCUGAGUACUAUCACACUGGCUGGCUCACUGAGAGCAGCGAUGUGUAUAGCUUCGGUGUUGUUCUACUCGAGGUAGCCACUGGUGAGCCUCCGGUAUUGGCAGGCCAUGGCCACAUCGUUCAGCGUGUGAAACAGAAGAUUGCCACUGGCAACGUCACCACUGUGGCUGAUGCCCAUCUUGGAGAUGAAUAUGAUGUCAACUCCAUGUGGAAACUGAUCGACACCGCCUUGGCGUGCACAGCAGAUGAUGCGGUCCGAAGGCCAACAAUGGCCGUCAUUGUGGCGCAGCUAAAAGAGAGCCUUGCUUUGGAGGAAGGUCGUGAGGACAGUAGCGUCCGCGGAAGCAUCACGAGUACCACUGCUGCCCCGAUGUCCAUGUUUGGUCCAUCGGCAAGAUGA
Molecule: ribosomal RNA, 2487 nt
Filed under: Triticum aestivum (bread wheat)
Lineage: Eukaryota; Viridiplantae; Streptophyta; Magnoliopsida; Poales; Poaceae
Description: partial small subunit ribosomal RNA
Source: RNAcentral